CAAAUACAGAGAAUUUCGAUUUGUCUGUUGAUAGUCCCUUUGGCUUAGACUUCAGCGCUAUACCGGAUUUUAAUAAUAUUUUGGAAUUGGCGCCAGAUUAUGCCACAAAAAUGGAUGAUGCGACGGCUGAUGGUAUUCUACGGGAUAUAUUGAACAAACCUGAUUAUUGUCACAACACCUCUAUACAGAACAGCAAUGUUGUUGAUGAGCAACCGUUUUUCCCACACGCUACAGGGGGUCGUGCUAAAACAUUCGAAUAUAAAGCAGAUGAUGCUGUAGCAAUGCGCUAUGCACCGACGAUACCAACAUGCAGUGAUACAGUAGCGCAAAUACACCGUCUUAGUACAAGCGGGAAAAUAUCAAAACGCACAACCGCCGCUGAAACGGAAAGCCAUCAAUUCGCAGCAGCAGAUGACGCUGUAGCAAGACGCUAUGCUCCUUUGAUACCAACAGUCAGUGAUACAUGCGCGCAGAUACACAGGCCUAGUACAAGCGGGAAAAUAUCAAAACGCACAACCGCCGCUGAAGCGGAGAACCAUCAAUUCGUAACGCCGGCAAUUGUACAUAAGGGCGUUGCUAGGUCAUCAGUUAUGGCUGUGCAUAACGGCUGUAUCGUCCCGAACAAACGAAAGCCAGCUCGACCAAGAACGAAUGAGAGAAGUCAUAAUUCAACAUUUACAGAUCUGAAAAGAAAAUUGUCAUAUUCCGAAAAUGAUAAGCCGCAACGGAGAAGGAUCGCGUUACAAACUGUAUCAUGCGUAAGUAAUGAUGUUGCUGUAACAUCAAAACACACAGCGUUUAACACUGCAGACCGGGAUG
Molecule: long non-coding RNA, 819 nt
Organism: Pseudophryne corroboree (corroboree frog)
Lineage: Eukaryota; Metazoa; Chordata; Amphibia; Anura; Myobatrachidae
Exons: 4
Source: RefSeq, a predicted model, not a curated record